UAUAUGUAUUAACUGGUAUAGGCCGCCGCGUAAAAAAUGAAGGUUAUCAUCAUCUUUGCUACCGUCUGCCUGUUGCUUUUGGCGUCGACAGCAUAUGCGAAGAACUGUCAAAGCGGAGCAGUCGGAGAACAGUGCCGACAGGAACACGCAUGCGAGAAGAAAUGCAGCGAUCUUAGCUUCCAGUGCGCAUACGCCAAAUGCGGAGAAUUUUUCGGAAACCCAGCGGCCAUGUUCGCAUGUUCAAGGACCAAAUGUCCGAGGUCCCUUUUCAAUAAUUGCAGACGUGACUGCCGUAACAAGUUCGUACACUAGAGCAGUAUCCACCGAUGACUUUAAAAUGUGCUUUCAAUAAGAUUUGCCCAUGUUCGUUCCCUGUUCACACCGACGUAUCACUGUAACCAAAUCGUACACUGGUUAGAACGGGGGAACCAGAUAUAUACUUGUUGUCGUUAAAAGGCUUCAUGCACCUACGUUGGACACUGACAUUUAUUACUUUUUUUUCUAGCUUGUUUCCUUAGGCCAGGUCAAAAUAAAAAUUUGCUACUCGUCCCCACCGGCUCCGAUUUUGGACGUGACCCGAAAAAAAAUAGUUUAGACUUUGCCACCAUUCAUUACGUAUUCAUCAGACCGCACAAAAGAAGUGAUCCCCGCCUCAAAUUUGAGAAUAAACUCGGAGGAAAACAUUUACAAAAUAGUAGAUGCCUCUUUUUCAAUGUUGAAAAAAGCCAUGGCUCUGAUUUUAGUUUUGUGACCCGCACUGCUGUAAAUCAAAGAAAAUUAUAUGACACGAUAAAAGCUAUUAUUUCCAUCAUGGGCAUGUAGAGAGCUAGUCACCCAUCACAGCCUCAGCUCAGUGUGGGCGGUAAAACGAUAAAGUGAAAAUUUUUUUAAUAAAAUGCAAUUUCCUGUUAA
Long non-coding RNA from Lineus longissimus, 912 nucleotides. RefSeq lists it as uncharacterized. The transcript has 2 exons. Lineage: Eukaryota; Metazoa; Nemertea; Pilidiophora; Heteronemertea; Lineidae. The record is from RefSeq and is a predicted model, not a curated record.